GUGUGUGUAAUUUAAAAAAAAUAUCAAGUUGUGACCCUGAAAAUAGAUAUCGCCUCACACACC
This 63-nucleotide transfer RNA is filed under the name Protobothrops elegans. RNAcentral's name for it is "tRNA-His". The record is from RNAcentral. Lineage: Eukaryota; Metazoa; Chordata; Lepidosauria; Squamata; Viperidae.